UAUGAGGAUGUAUCGGACAUCGAGUCAUGUAAUGAAUGAGUCCUCUGUGUCUCCUUAGGCUGUGGCUGAUCAGCUGGAACCUUAUGUGGAAUAUUUCUUUUUGCCCAUUGCCCUGGAUCCACCAUGAUCUCCCUAGCUUACACUGGUUGAUCAUGGAGGAGACCCUGCUUAUCAAGCUCUGGCUUCUGUAGCUGACUUGCAAGCCAUCCAAUGAUCAGAUCGUCAUCUCCGUUAGCAUAAUUAUCUAGUGUCAGAUCAGUGUACUUCAGUUGUACUUUCUCCUGAACGUAUUUUAGCCUCAACCUCAUAUUAUAGUGAACAUAUACAAGAUCAUUGAGGUACUUUUGUGUCAGAUGAUUUCUCUGUUUGCUGUGGAUAAGGAUGAAAGUUGACCAAUUGCGCUCACAGCCACUAGCAGAGAUCGUCUGGGAAAGAAUGCGGAU
Molecule: long non-coding RNA, 443 nt
Filed under: Elaeis guineensis (African oil palm)
Lineage: Eukaryota; Viridiplantae; Streptophyta; Magnoliopsida; Arecales; Arecaceae
Description: long non-coding RNA (EGUI_LNC074070)
Source: RNAcentral